This 407-nucleotide precursor RNA is filed under the name Arabidopsis thaliana (thale cress). Its description in RNAcentral is "pre-miRNA 172a". The stretch from base 191 to 306 matches the Rfam family "mir-172 microRNA precursor family". The record is from RNAcentral. Lineage: Eukaryota; Viridiplantae; Streptophyta; Magnoliopsida; Brassicales; Brassicaceae.
GGUACGAGUUUCUAGUGUCUAUAAAUUAAGAAGGUUAAGUACCAUAUAGAUGAUAUUUGUUAAGUAGUAAGUCACUCAAAGUUUGAGUUUGGGUUUGAGUUUGAGUUUGAGUUUGAGUUUGAGAGACAAAAGAUUACUACAAGAAGAUUGUUAAACAAAAAUGGAAGACUAAUUUCCGGAGCCACGGUCGUUGUUGGCUGCUGUGGCAUCAUCAAGAUUCACAUCUGUUGAUGGACGGUGGUGAUUCACUCUCCACAAAGUUCUCUAUGAAAAUGAGAAUCUUGAUGAUGCUGCAUCGGCAAUCAACGACUAUUCUUUCCCUCUCUCUCUCUCUCCCUCUGUAUAGAUUAUUUGGAUUCCAUCCAGAUCUUCUUCAGGUAGGUUUGUUUCUACUUGAAGUUUUUUUU